AGUGAACGCUGGCGGCGUGCUUAACACAUGCAAGUCGAACGAGAACGGGUUAUAGCUUGCUAUAAUUGUCAGCUAAGUGGCGCACGGGUGAGUAAUGUAUAGGUAAUAUGCCUCUUACUAAGGGAUAACAAAUGGAAACGUUUGCUAAUACCUUAUACUCCUUAUUAACAGAAGUUAAUAAGGGAAAGAUUUAUUGGUAAGAGAUUAGCCUGUAUUGUAUCAGUUAGUUGGUGGGGUAAUGGCUUACCAAGACUAUGACACAUAACUGGUUUGAGAGGAUGAUCAGUCACACUGGAACUGAGACACGGUCCAGACUCCUACGGGAGGCAGCUGUGGGGAAUAUUGCACAAUGGACGAAAGUCUGAUGCAGCAACGCCGCGUGGAGGAUGAUACAUUUCGGUGCGUAAACUCCUUUUAUAUGAGAAGAUAAUGACGGUAUUAUAUGAAUAAGCACCGGCUAACUCCGUGCCAGCCGCCGCAGUAA
Molecule: ribosomal RNA, 484 nt
Filed under: uncultured bacterium
Lineage: Bacteria
Description: partial 16S ribosomal RNA
Rfam family: Bacterial small subunit ribosomal RNA
Source: RNAcentral